Molecule: ribosomal RNA, 207 nt
Filed under: uncultured bacterium
Lineage: Bacteria
Description: partial 16S ribosomal RNA
Rfam family: Bacterial small subunit ribosomal RNA
Source: RNAcentral
CGCGUAGGCGGUUUUGUAAGUCGGAUGUGAAAUCCCCGGGCUUAACCUGGGAACUGCAUUCGAUACUGCAUAACUAGAGUAUGGUAGAGGGAAGUGGAAUUUCCGGUGUAGCGGUGAAAUGCGUAGAUAUCGGAAGGAACACCAGUGGCGAAGGCGACUUCCUGGGCCAAUACUGACGCUGAGGUGCGAAAGCGUGGGGAGCAAACA